RNAcentral lists this ribosomal RNA (1603 nucleotides) under Meloidogyne incognita (southern root-knot nematode). RNAcentral's name for it is "SSU rRNA". It matches the Rfam family "Eukaryotic small subunit ribosomal RNA". The record is from RNAcentral. Lineage: Eukaryota; Metazoa; Nematoda; Chromadorea; Rhabditida; Meloidogynidae.
AAGCUUUGUCCUCUCGGAAAAGCGCAUUUAUUAGAACAAAACCACGCGGCUUCGGCUGCUUCUUGUUGACUCAGAAUAACUAAGCUGACUGCAUGGCCUUGUGCCGGCGGCGUGUCUUUCAAGCGUCCACUUUAUCAACUUGACGGGAGCAUAAUCGACUCCCGUGGUGGUGACGGAUAACGGAGGAUCAGGGUUCGACUCCGGAGAAGGGGCCUGAGAAAUGGCCACUACGUCUAAGGAUGGCAGCAGGCGCGCAAAUUACCCACUCUCGGCUCGAGGAGGUAGUGACGAGAAAUAACGAGACUGUUCUCUUUGAGGCCGGUCAUCGGAAUGGGUACAAUUUAAACCCUUUAACGAGUAUCAAGCAGAGGGCAAGUCUGGUGCCAGCAGCCGCGGUAAUUCCAGCUCUGCUAAUACAUAGAUUAUUGCUGCGGUUAAAAAGCUCGUAGUUGGAUUCGUAUCGGUACCCUGGAACCCUCCGGGUGUUUUUGGGUGUUAUCGAUUUAUCGUAAUGUUCGGUUUUGAGUCCUUAACAGGAUUCUUAACAGGCAUUGCAAGUUUACUUUGAACAAAUCAGAGUGCUUCAAACAGGCGUUUUCGCUUGAAUGAUCGUGCAUGGAAUAAUAGAAAACGAUUUCGGUUCAGUUUUAUUGGUUUUACGGACUGAGAUAAUGGUUAACAGAGACAAACGGGGGCAUUUGUAUGGCCCCGUGAGAGGUGAAAUUCUUGGACCGUGGCCAGACAAACUACAGCGAAAGCAUUUGCCAAGAAUGUCUUCAUUAAUCAAGAACGAAAGUCAGAGGUUCGAAGGCGAUCAGAUACCGCCCUAGUUCUGACCGUAAACGAUGCCAACUAGCGAUCCGCCGAUGGAAAUUAUAUUGCCUUGGUGGGGAGCUUCCCGGAAACGAAAGUCUUCCGGUUCCGGGGGAAGUAUGGUUGCAAAGCUGAAACUUAAAGGAAUUGACGGAAGGGCACCACCAGGAGUGGAGCCUGCGGCUUAAUUUGACUCAACACGGGGAAACUCACCCGGCCCGGACACUGUGAGGAUUGACAGAUUGAUAGCUUUUUCAUGAUUCAGUGGAUGGUGGUGCAUGGCCGUUCUUAGUUCGUGGAGUGAUUUGUCUGGUUUAUUCCGAUAACGAGCGAGACUCUAACCUACUAAAUAGCUGGUACAUAAUUUAAGUGUAUGCAGCUUCUUAGAGGGAUUUGCGGUGUUCAGCCGAAAGAAAUUGAGCAAUAACAGGUCUGUGAUGCCCUUAGAUGUCCGGGGCUGCACGCGCGCUACACUGGCAAAAUCAACGUGCUUGUCCUACCCCGAAAGGGGCGGGUAAACCAUUGAAAAUUUGCCGUGAUUGGGAUCGGAAAUUGCAAUUAUUUUCCGUGAACGAGGAAUUCCAAGUAAGUGCGAGUCAUCAGCUCGCGUUGAUUACGUCCCUGCCCUUUGUACACACCGCCCGUCGCUGCCCGGGACUGAGCCAUUUCGAGAAAUUUGGGGACCGUUGAUUUAAUUUUUCUAAAUUACUUUGAUGGAAACCAAUUUAAUCGCAGUGGCUUGAACCGGGCAAAAGUCGUAACAAGGUAGCUGUAGGUGAACCUGCUGCUG